CCUACGGGAGGCAGCAGUGGGGAAUCUUGCGCAAUGGGCGGAAGCCUGACGCAGCGACGCCGCGUGAGGGACGAAGGCCUUCGGGUUGUAAAGCGCUUUCAGCAGGGACGAGGCCCUCACGGUGACGGUACCUGCAGAAGAAGCCCCGGCUAACUACGUGCCAGCAGCCGCGGUAAUACGGAGGGGGCGAGCGUUAUCCGGAUUCAUUGGGCGUAAAGGGCGCGUAGGCGGUAUGUCAAGUCAAGGGUGAAAUCCCCGCGCUCAACGUGGGAACUGCCUUUGAAACUGGCAAACUGGAGUGUGUGAGAGGAUAGUGGAAUUCCAGGUGUAGUGGUGAAAUCCGGAGAUAUCUGGAGGAACAUCAGUGGCGAAGGCGACUAUCUGGCACAUAACCGACGCUGAGGAGCGAAAGCGUGGGUAGCAAACAGGAUUAGAUACCCCUGUAGUC
RNAcentral lists this ribosomal RNA (448 nucleotides) under uncultured bacterium. Its description in RNAcentral is "partial 16S ribosomal RNA". It matches the Rfam family "Bacterial small subunit ribosomal RNA", at positions 338 to 795 of the family's 1533-position model. The record is from RNAcentral.